AUAUGAUUUGAUUACAUCCAGUUGUGAUUCAUAAGUUGUGAAUUCAAUUUACUUAUCCGUUCGUAUAAAAAUUGAUUUGUGUAUGUUGGUUGAGAGUGCACGCUUAAUUUUCAUGCAUGAAUUUGACGCUAGAAUAUAAGGGAGUUUCACCUAAUCGUUAUGAACUUAUAUUCACAAGUAGUGAAGGUUGCUAGUCACAAUCACGUUAAGUAAAUUCUUAGCAUAAGUUUCAUGCAAAUCAUAGUAACGAGUGCCUCGUCAAUGCUUAUGUUUUUCAUAGAAC
RNAcentral lists this long non-coding RNA (283 nucleotides) under Malus domestica (apple). RNAcentral's name for it is "long non-coding RNA (MDOM_LNC018231)". The record is from RNAcentral. Lineage: Eukaryota; Viridiplantae; Streptophyta; Magnoliopsida; Rosales; Rosaceae.